AUUGUAUUCCUGAAGCAAGAUAGCAGCUCUUGAACAUUUAAAGAGUUAAUCAAAUGUUCUUGUACCUUUUCUUUUUUUGUGCAAUAUCAUGCAAAAUCCAGGGGUGAUUCUACUUUCAGAUAUAACAAGCAACAUAUUGAGCAGAUUACAAACUGGAUAAAAAAUUUCGUAAGUAUACAACUGACUUUGGAGCCCAAGUUGCAAUAACUUCAGAACAAAGACAGAUUGCUCCAUUAGCAUUUUUAUCCUCUUGUUAGCUAUUCAUUCAGUACUUUGUCCUGAAAAUUCAUACCAUCUUCUCUGUGACAAAGUUGAAAACUAGUAGCAAGUUUCAAUUCUAAGAAAAAAAUUAACUUGAUGUUGCUCAAAUUUCACUUUUAUUUGUCCACAUUUCUUUGUAAACAGAGGCCUUGCUAUUGUAGAGCAGUGUGAUGUUUUUUGCUAUGACUUGUAAACACCAAUUUAAUAUGGUCGUAAUUUAUUUAUAACACUUCUGUGCUUAACAUGCAAACUUCAAAAUCACUCUCUGAGACUCAGAGUACAAAACAGAACUGGUUACAGUUGCAGGAAAAGGCAAGUGUCUUUAAAAUGUGACUAGGCAACUUCCACCUCCACCACCAAAGGCAAACUAAAUUGGUGUCAUAUGUUACCAUCUAAAUUUGUGCUUGCCCACAUCUUCAACAUUACAUGCAGCUCUCAUUCCCCUAGGAAAGAUAAUAACAAAAAAUCAGAUAGGGGAAGCAAAGAUGAUUACAGGAGUGGAAUGUUUUCAAGCAAAGAAUGACUAAGUAAACAAGGACUUUUCAGCUUGGAAAGGAGAUGACAGGAGCCAGAGUGAAAACAAAUGCUAAAAGAUGGCACUUAAAAUAAGGAGCAAUAGACUUGUUGAACUCCUUUCUAGAGGACAUAAUAGAUUCUAAAUUUUACAUGGGCUCAAGGGAAGGUGGGAGGGGGGGUUUGAAAAAAAAAGGUAAUGGAAAAGAAAUCUAUUUAGAUUUGCUAAAUAUGUCUAACUCACUCCUGAGACUGGGAAAGUGACCAGAGAAAGAAUCCUAUUUUUACCCUGUUCUUACUGUUUGCUAAGUGUUUAUGUAUGGCAACUACUGGAAACUGCAUACUGAGUUGACUCGUUCUUUGCUCUGACCAUGUACAGCCCUUUUUUUCUUCUUAUAAUCUUAAAAUGACUCUUCCUUUGUAUUCACUGGAAAACUUAUUUUGUCUUCACUGAAUUAUGUUAGGUCCUUAAACAAACUCAUAUCUUCCUAAUACUUGAAGUCUUAUUUCUUCCUAACUCAUGUCCUGAUGAGGUAAUUUCAUUCUGAAGAAGUCACUGGUAGAAAAAUAGGCAUUUCUCUUUUUCUUCUUUUUUUCACUUUUUCAAGGUAUUAAUUUGGAGGAGAAAUACCAGUGGAAAUGUGGUAGCUGUGAGGCUCCAAAAUGUCCAGCCCUAAUUCAUCUGUUUUAGGGUAUGUGCUUGAGGGAAAAUGGGCUAAGACCCAUGUCCCUCAGACCUGUAAUCUCCGCUCUCUUUAUCAAAUGGAGUAGAAUUUAUAACUGUAGGGAUCUCAAGAGUGCUUUUCUCAUACCCACCCGUCUUGCUGGUGGCCCAAAUUUAGCUUCAGAAAGCUGGAGGCAAGACAGCUGUAAGCUGGCUCAUACACAUUAAAACAGGCAUACAUCAGCUUUAAGAGCUGGAGUGAAACUCUACUGACUUUAAAAAUUGCUUAUUCAUUGAGUGUCUGUGGACCGAGUUAUAAAAAGCCAAUAUCAAAUUUGGGCAUACCAGCAGAAGACCUGUAAUUCUGUUACACUGUAAUUUCUGUAACACCUGCUACAGAAAACUUGCUAAGAAUAAGGAAAUGUCACUUAGGACCUUUAUCUUGGAUGAUCAACUCAGUAUCCUCUUUAUCAGGUGAUCCUAUCAUAAAGAAAGCUUGUGAGAGGAAACCAAUGAAGCAUUACAGAUGACAUGGCUUCAGAUACAAGAGAAUGUAGAAAGGGUGCCUCCUGGAAAACAUCUCAGCCUUUAGUAAAGAGUACAUUUUUUUCCAUGUAGGCAGGAGACCUGCUGUUUUCCGCAAGUAUAUGCUUUGCAGUUCCACACAAAGGUUACUCACUCACUUCCUUUAUCUGGCUUGAAAGAUCACUGCAAAUUCAGUUCAGGAUUUUUUUUACUCACAUUUUUUUGCCUGUUUGACUUACUUAGCUGGUCUUUAUAUGAUGUUUUCUUAAAUAACUUCUAAUCUCAUUGCUGAUCUUAUAUAACUAGGUCUUACAUUCAGCUGGCCUGUACCGAAACACAAGCUGCAUUGUGCGUUCAUGCAGCAGAGAAGACAGCCAAGGACUGCCAUGCACUUUAAAAGGAAAUGAACCAACUACUGAAAGCAACAGACUGCUACUACCUGUCAAAUUACGUUGUCUUUACUUUCUAACAUAUGGAGUGACAAUCGUCAACUUCAGUGAUGUCCAAUUCAAAACUUUACUUCAAUGUCACCUGGAUAGGUUUCGAAUUCAAGCAUAUUACCUUUAAUUCUGAAUUUAAAUUCAGAAUCUUUGAAGAAGACUGAGCUGAAACUGCUAGGGUUUUACAGUUUCAGCAUUUGAAAGCAGUGCAGGUAUCAUCCUUUUUUAUUGUGCUCUGUAGAACAAAAUGCUCUACCAUUGGCAAGUCUCUUCGGGAUAUGAUUACCUUAUGAGAUCUGGGACUCAUCCCAGGUUCUAGGAUGUGGGUACAGGAUGCAGCCAUGAGAUAAACCUGGAUAUGUAUAUUCAGAGCUCAUGUAAAAGUGCCCUGAAUAGAAACCAGCCCCAAGAUACUACCAGAUGGCCCAGCACAUAGGUAUGGACAUAGCCUAAGAUACCUAAUUUCUCUCAAAACCAUAGCAGGCAUGCUAAACAAAAAUCCUUUAUCAUUAUGCUUUUAGUCAGGUCUUCAAAGAAAGCUGGAAAUCGAAGCUUAACAACCACUAGGCCUAUCUUUCAAUCUUUUAAAUCUCUGUGAUCUAUUUUGUUAUCAAUAGGUUUUUUCACUAUUCAGAUACCCAAAGCAUAGAAAAAGGUACCCAGCUAAUUCUUACACAGCUUUUAGAUAAAUAUACAAUAUCCUUCUUCAUUUAUUAUCAGAACAGGGGCUGCCAUAGUGCCUUGUAAGAGAACAAAGCAGUAUGUAGUUCAAGUGCCAGUCAGUAUUUUCCUUUUGUGUUUCUGAUUGUAAGCUGAUUACACAACACUAAUGAGAGCUUUUAUUUAUUUAUCUGAAUGAACAGAAGACAAAGCACAGAAAGCAAAAGAGGUUAAAUCUUUAAAGAGAUCACUUUUCCUGCUCCUAAUGGGGCUGUGGACAGUGCUCCUUUUUCAAAUACAGAAGGAAAGCAGGAAAGGACGGUGGAGGCAUGAGGAAGGGACAUAAUGCAUUUCACAGGCUGAGUUUUAUGGCAGCUAUCUUCUGGCUCACCUCCCAGAUGCUCUGCCAUCCUGUCAUCAAGAUGAAAUCUCUGCCACACAGACAUUUCUUCUGC
This is a long non-coding RNA of Strigops habroptila (Kakapo), 3518 nucleotides long. The record is from Ensembl. NCBI's taxonomy places the organism in Eukaryota, Metazoa, Chordata, Aves, Psittaciformes, Psittacidae.